Molecule: ribosomal RNA, 483 nt
Filed under: uncultured bacterium
Lineage: Bacteria
Description: partial 16S ribosomal RNA
Rfam family: Bacterial small subunit ribosomal RNA
Source: RNAcentral
AUUGAACGCUGGCGGCAGGCCUAACACAUGCAAGUCGAGCGGAUGAAGGGAGCUUGCUCCUGGAUUCAGCGGCGGACGGGUGAGUAAUGCCUAGGAAUCUGCCUGGUAGUGGGGGAUAACGUCCGGAAACGGGCGCUAAUACCGCAUACGUCCUGAGGGAGAAAGUGGGGGAUCUUCGGACCUCACGCUAUCAGAUGAGCCUAGGUCGGAUUAGCUAGUUGGUGGGGUAAAGGCCUACCAAGGCGACGAUCCGUAACUGGUCUGAGAGGAUGAUCAGUCACACUGGAACUGAGACACGGUCCAGACUCCUACGGGAGGCAGCAGUGGGGAAUAUUGGACAAUGGGCGAAAGCCUGAUCCAGCAUGCCGCGUGUGUGAAGAAGGUCUUCGGAUUGUAAAGCACUUUAAGUUGGGAGGAAGGGCAGUAAGUUAAUACCUUGCUGUUUUGACGUUACCAACAGAAUAAGCACCGGCUAACUUCGUG